This 664-nucleotide ribosomal RNA is filed under the name uncultured cyanobacterium. RNAcentral describes it as "bacterial SSU rRNA". It matches the Rfam family "Bacterial small subunit ribosomal RNA", at positions 98 to 795 of the family's 1533-position model. The record is from RNAcentral. Lineage: Bacteria; Bacillati; Cyanobacteriota.
UCGGACGGGUGAGUAACGCGUGAGAAUCUGCCCUUAGGAUGGGGACAACAGUUGGAAACGACUGCUAAUACCCAAUAUGCCGGAAGGUGAAACUUAUAUGGCCUGAGGAAGAGCUCGCGUCUGAUUAGCUAGUUGGUAGUGUAAUGGACUACCAAGGCGACGAUCAGUAGCUGGUCUGAGAGGAUGAUCAGCCACACUGGGACUGAGACACGGCCCAGACUCCUACGGGAGGCAGCAGUGGGGAAUUUUCCGCAAUGGGCGAAAGCCUGACGGAGCAAGACCGCGUGAGGGAGGAAGGCCUACUGGUUGUAAACCUCUUUUGAUAGGGAAGAACACAAUGACGGUACCUAUCGAAUCAGCCUCGGCUAACUCCGUGCCAGCAGCCGCGGUAAUACGGAGGAGGCAAGCGUUAUCCGGAAUUAUUGGGCGUAAAGCGUCCGUAGGUGGUUAUCCAAGUCAGUUGUUAAAGCGUAGAGCUUAACUCUAUAAGGGCAAUUGAAACUGGGUGGCUAGAGUGCGAUAGGGGCAAGGGGAAUUCCCAGUGUAGCGGUGAAAUGCGUAGAUAUUGGGAAGAACAUCGGUGGCGAAAGCGCCUUGCUGGGUCUGCACUGACACUGAGGGACGAAAGCUAGGGGAGCGAAAGGGAUUAGAUACCCCUGUAGUC